Carya illinoinensis is the source of this 302-nucleotide long non-coding RNA. RefSeq lists it as uncharacterized. The transcript has 2 exons. The record is from RefSeq and is a predicted model, not a curated record. NCBI's taxonomy places the organism in Eukaryota, Viridiplantae, Streptophyta, Magnoliopsida, Fagales, Juglandaceae.
CCACUCUGUGUUAGAUGCGAUCGCUAUAUUGUCAAUUUUCUCUUUUCUUAAGUUGUUUGAUUUUACGGUUUGAUGGUGGAUUAUGAGUGCUAACCUAAAUGUGAUUUAUUUUAUGAUUGCUAACGUAAUUGAUGCAAUCCUUCUUGCUUGGUUUCUGCAUUUCUAAAUGUCAAUUUCUAGGUGGCUGUGCAAUCUAUUGCUCAAGUUUGAUCAUUUUUCUUCCCCAAGAUGGGUAUCUGAAAAUGAGUAUUCAAUGCAAUAGAUUCUAUGUACAGAUCAUAUACCAAGAGAGAUUGAUGUAA